Molecule: long non-coding RNA, 258 nt
Filed under: Sorghum bicolor (sorghum)
Lineage: Eukaryota; Viridiplantae; Streptophyta; Magnoliopsida; Poales; Poaceae
Description: long non-coding RNA (SBIC_LNC009054)
Source: RNAcentral
UGGCCUAAGAUGACUGGAACCUCGUAUCAAGCGUAGCUGUUUUCCCUCAAAAAAAGUGUAGCUGUGGCGACCUAAACAUUGCAAUUAUACUAGCUGAUUCUCAGUCGUAAUCAAUCAAGCCCGUGCCUUGAAUUGAAUAACUGCUCAUCAUAUCAUCCUAGUAGCCACAACCACGAGAUCCGGAGGCAAAAGUCAACAGGCGUUACUGUCCGAGUCUCACGUAGCACUACAGCACACAUGUAACAGAACAGUUGGCCA